Long non-coding RNA from Pongo pygmaeus (Bornean orangutan), 2490 nucleotides. RefSeq lists it as uncharacterized. NCBI's taxonomy places the organism in Eukaryota, Metazoa, Chordata, Mammalia, Primates, Hominidae. The transcript has 3 exons. The record is from RefSeq and is a predicted model, not a curated record.
AUACAUUCCAGUAGGUGUCAGAGGGAUGAUGUCAUCAUGUCUUCAACAUCUGGAAAACUCCAAUGCACACAUGUGAGAGUCUUUGGAUACCUCAGAGGUUAAAUCUCAGCACCCAGAGGAGUGCCCAGCCACUGACCUGCACAAGAUCGAGCCAGUUUCCAUUCUAUAAUAAAACAGAAACAAGAGUUAUUGCCAGGUUAAAGAGAAAAUCAGCUGGGUAUGGUGGCUCACGCCUGUAAUCCCAGCACUUUGGGAGGCCAAUGCAGGAAGAUCACUUGAGCCCAGGAGUUCGAGACCAGCCUUAGGGAACAUAGCGAGACUCCAUCUCUACAAACAAUUUAAAAUAAUAAAGAGACAGAGAGAGAAAGAAAAAAAAAUCUUGUGUAAUUUAAAGUAAAAGACAAAACUAAACUUCCUUGUUUGUAUAGUGGUGUGAAGAAGAAGAAGAGGAAGAAGAAAAAGAGGAAGAAGAAGAAGAAGGAGGAAAAUAAAAAGACAAAACUAACAUAAAAAUUUCAGGAGCUUCUUUGUAAAAUGAACAGAAAUUCUUCAAUAGGCCUCUGGGGCUGAGAUGUAAGGAGGAGGAGGAAGAAAACGAGAGUGGGAAGGGCGCACUGGAGGACUGUUGCUAUCUGAAUCCUAUCGCCUACAAAACAUCAACUGGUCAAUCAGGCACAAGAAAGUGUUCUGCUUCUUUCUGUUACCUUAGAAAUAACCUGGACGUCAAACAUCGGUGAAAAGAAGAGAAAAAAAGAAAAAUGAAAUAACCUGGAAGCUCCUGAUGAUUUGAGAUCAGAUCUUUACAUACUAAGAGGUGGUUGCUAUAUCUGGGGGCCUUGAGUGAAAGGCAGCAGUGGGAGCCCAGCACCCAUUUCCAACAACUCCACAGCCCAGAGCCCAAACUCAGGAGUUAUGAGUUGAAUUUAUUUUGUCAAACAAAAAGAGUCAAACUCUGUAAAAUAUUGCAAGAGAUUUAUUCUGAGCCAGAUAUGAGUGCCCAAUGGCUUGUGAUACAGCCCCAGGAGAUCCUGUGAACAUGUGCCCAGGCGGUUGGGCUCCAGCUUCUUUUUAUAUUUUAUAUUUAUUGAGAUGUUUUAACUCUGCAGGCCAGAGAGAGAGACCUACCUGAGACCAGCUUGGGCAGCUGGAGGAGAAUGAGGGUGAGCAGACAUCUGGGCAAGCCGGAGUUUGGGAAAACUGCCAUCUUUGACCUUUCUGGAGCAGCAAGAUACUGGUGUGAGUCUGUCAGGAGCUUCAGCCUAGAUGAUGAAUGGACAGGAGAGAGCGAUGAGCUCUAUAGACCCGCCCAGCAGUUCUUUCCAACUUGGAGUGCUCUGGUCAUUUGCAUCUGAAUCCUGCUGUGUCUUCUCUCCAGUGGAGAUUUUCAAAGCAGGCUGCCAUCAGCACCCACUCACCACCCUAAGUUUGAAUAUGGACUUUGGAGCUGGGCAGCCCUUUUGUGACCAUGAGGCAACAUUGAAGAUGCAAGCCACAUGCUAAGACAGAAGAAAAUAAAGACAGAACUAAGCUGGGGCAUGUAUGACAUUUCAAGCUCUCAGAUCAGCCCUUGAUGGCCACCAUCCAUAUUUACUGACAUGAAAAGAAGUCCUCAUUUUGUCAAAGCCAAUGAUAUUCAGGAUGUUAUUAAUAACAAAAUACAAUUCUUCCCUCUACCCACUACAGUGUAUCAUGAAACUCUUCAAACAUAUAGGAAAGUUGAGUAUGGAAUUUCUAUCUCCAGCCUUGAGGUCUCACCUGGACUCUUGGUUAUUCAAUGGACUACUCUGCAUCUCCAUGUGCAUCUCUAAUAGACUCCUCAACCUUAAUGUAUCCACAACUGAACCUUUGGUUCUGCACCACCCCCAUCUUGCUCCUUGUCUCUCCGUUUCCCCAUCUCAGAAAUUAACAACUGCAUCUUUCCAGUUACUUUUCCCUCCUUCCUUCCUUCCUUCCUUCUUCCCUUCCUCCCUUCCUUCCUUCUCUCUAUUUUCUUAUUUGACAGAGUCUCACUCUGCCACUCAGGCUAGAGUGCAGUGGUGCACUGCAACUUCCACCUCCUGGGUUUUAGUAGAGACAGGGUUUUACCAUGUUGGCCAGGCUGGUCUCGAACUCCUGACCUUAAGUGAUCCACCUGCCUCGGCCUCCCAAAGUGCUGGGAUGAUGGGUGUGAGUCACCGCGCCCGGCCCAUCUUUCCAGUUUCUUGGGACUAAAACCAGAGAUCUACUUUUCUCCUUUGCCAUAUGAGGACACAUUUAAAAGGCUGUGAACAAGGAUGCAGGCUCUUACCAGUUACCAAACUGCUGGUGCCUUGAUCUUACAGUUCCCAGCCCCCAGAGUGCAAGAAAAAAAAUUUUGGUUGUUUAUAAACGACUCAGUCUUGGUAUAUUUGUCAUAGCUGUCUGGACAGACUAAAACACGCAGAUAAACAACCCUGUUUUCUGCCUUAACAAAUCAGGUAUUUAAAUAUAUGUUCCUGAUUCUUUGCAUAA